AGAUGUGAGAGUUAGUCUCUCACAGAACACCAGACACCCCACUGAUUGCUAGGUUGAUUCAGCUGAUAAGGUUGGCAAGGUGAGGCUCCCCUUCCUUCCUCACGAUUCCAUGUGCAUCCCUCUAAGAGGAUGUUUGUGGAAGAAGACAGCCUUCCCUGACUAGGGAUUCAGAGACAGACUGACUGGAGCAUUCAAUAGUAGCUGUAUUCCUUUGUUAGUACCUCCAAACAAGCUCUCAAGGUGUUCAUUCCUUUAAUGAAAAUAGAAGUAUAUGGGUCUCUUAAGGUGUGGAGGGUUCUCACCCACCCCCCUCUGGGGCGCCCCCAGUG
This 329-nucleotide small nuclear RNA is filed under the name Sorex araneus (European shrew). RNAcentral's name for it is "7SK RNA (ENSSARG00000020161.1)". It matches the Rfam family "7SK RNA". From Rfam's summary of the family: 7SK was discovered as an abundant small nuclear RNA in the mid-70s but a possible function has only recently been suggested. Lineage: Eukaryota; Metazoa; Chordata; Mammalia; Eulipotyphla; Soricidae. The record is from RNAcentral.